RNAcentral lists this ribosomal RNA (253 nucleotides) under uncultured bacterium. Its description in RNAcentral is "partial 16S ribosomal RNA". It matches the Rfam family "Bacterial small subunit ribosomal RNA", at positions 524 to 776 of the family's 1533-position model. The record is from RNAcentral.
UACGUAGGGUGCAAGCGUUGUCCGGAAUCACUGGGCGUAAAGCGCGUGUAGGCGGGGCCGCAAGUCUGCUGUGAAAACUCCUGGCUUAACCGGGAGAGGUCGGUGGAAACUGCGAACCUGGAGGACGGUAGAGGCUGGUGGAAUUCCCGGUGUAGUGGUGAAAUGCGUAGAGAUCGGGAGGAACACCUGUGGCGAAGGCGGCCAGCUGGGCCGGACCUGACGCUGAGACGCGAAGGCGUGGGGAGCGAACGGG